AAUUAAUACUUACGUCCUUCUAUUAUUAACAAAUAGUUUUUCCAUCCCUAAAUUACAUCCCGUCAUAUAAAUGGGUCCUUCCAUCCAUUUCGACUCAAAUUCACUGUUAAAGAGAUGUAAAAUGUCCAAAUUAACCUUUAUUAAAGAAAAAAGGAUAAUGUGAUUUAACUAUCUUCCCUCUUUCUCAGCCCUAUCAUUUCUACAAAAUUUAUCGCCGCUAUUGGACUCACAGCAGAACUGUUGCUAUUGGACUCAUGGCAGAACUGAUCUUCUUAACUCGUCAUAUAAACUCUGGCUCAAAAUCAUCUCCGCCACCAACACCACCUUAAAGCUAUUUAGAACACCGACAACCACCCUCUUCAUUUGCAAAGAAAUUCAUUUCCUUCCCCCAAACAAAUCCUAGACUCAGCUUGAAAUGCCAGAUAAGUAUAUAAAUCUCUCCCGAAAUAACAAAGAUUCAUAUACCAGAUGAGGAAAUAGCCAUCGUUAAACUCAAAAUCAUCUCCAUUUCUCAUUAACUGCAUAUAUCUCUCUAGCCAAUUUUUUGGCCUGAAAUCCAUCCAAUCACAGUGAUGUCCCUUGCUCACUGGCAUUCCGGCUAGGUAAAAAGUCAUUGAUGGCGAAUUUGUAGUCUUUCCGAAUUGGGUACAAUCUUAUAUGCUUUCAUAAAGAAGCAUGUGCAUAAACCAAAUCCUUCACUUCUUUGAAAAUUUGAUUCUUCGAUCUCUCCUUUAUCUCUUAAAAGCCAUGUCAAAAAAGUCGAUAUUGUAUCUCGGCCAUCUAAUAUGGAACUGAUAACAACAUCAUUAAUAAAAGUCUCAUCCGAAUGCCCAAAAUUUAGCACUUUCUAUCUGUUUUUUUUUUUUUUUUUUUUUUUUUUUUUUUUUUUUUUUUUUUUUUUUGUUCUUAUGCUGCUCUAAUGGCUCUGUAAAGCUUUUGGAUUUUUGGUUGGACACAUCUAUGGCAAUGGAAAAAGAUAGAAAAAAAAAUUAAAUUUUUAUGUUUUAUUUUUUAACUUAUGACGAAGUAGACAAGUCUUGUAUUUGAUGCAUGAAUCUUGUUUUUGUGUUAUUAAUUAUGCCGUAAUUCUAUGUAAGUUGAAGAAAAAUUAAUUAAAUAUUGGAUUUUGGAAGAAUGAGUUGAAUCCUUUAGUCCUUCUCUCUGAGGGCAGUUUGGGAAUUUAAAUAUAUUAUAUCUCCUCGUUUUGUUCUUUUAUUUGAAAGUUCACGGUGAGUUUGAGUCAAAAGGGAUGGAAGGACCUAGUUAUAUGACAGAAUCGUCACAGGGACAUUAAAGCUAUGUAUUAAUAAUAGAAGAAUGUAAGUAUUAAUUUGACUAUAAUUUAGGGACCUCAAAAUAUUUUGCUCUUAUUAUUAUUAUUACUCCUUUUGUUCUCUUUAUAAAGGGAUAACAGAAUUUUCACAACGAUUAAUGAGGUAGUUCAACUGAGUAUUUUGUCCAUUUUCUUCCUAAUUUGCCCCUGGAACACUAUUAAAUUUUAUGUUAUUUUCAAUGUCAGCCAACUCACUUUUUCCUUCUCCCAAGGGCGUAUUUAAUGCAUGUUUUUACAGGCAAAUUGAAGGGAAAUGGUUGAGCUAAUUGUGUUACAAUCAGCAAAAUUCAUUCCCUAAGAUUGAAAUUUGUUUCAAAUUUUUAACUUCCCUCUUGACAUUAAGUGUUGUGCAUUCAGAAAAAAACAUGUGCACAAAAAUGAAAAAAAAUUGUGCAGCCAAAAUUUUUUAUUCAUGAAACAGUCUCUUGAACUUCUUCAAUAUGUCCACAUAAAUAAAUUUUGUGCAUAUAUUGAUAAGGUCUAAAUACAAAAUAAGGUAAACCUGUUGAAAUUGUUGUGUUUCUAAAUAAUUUUCUGACCAUAUUACACAUCCAUAUAUAAAAUUUUACCCAAAUUCGUGCCUAUAUGAUUCAAGUGCAUACAUCAUUAACUCUCUUGUACUAUAUAAUUGCGUGAAAACAUGAACAAAUACGUGCUUCAUAAUUAAAAGUAGAAUUGCACUGAAUAAAAGAGAAUACACCUUCAAUUCUACUUCGGGAAACAUGAGGACAUUAAAUACAUAACCCAUGUUUUGUCUGUCAUUAUCUCAUUUUUCUCACAAAAUUAAUGCAAAUAAUAUAGCUAGGUUAAGGGCAUUAUAGUCAUUUUCUUUUGACAUUUUUCUCUAAGUUUCCAAAUCAAGUAAAUUUCUCCAUACAAAAAACGUUAAACCUACAAAAAUACCCCGAAUUUUGCGACUUGUUACAAUAACACUCUAAUUUGACCUUCGUCCCACUGGCACCCCAACUUAGAAACUUAAAAAUAGUCAUCCUAAAUUUAAAAUCAACUAUGGUUUACAAUAAAAUAAUAUGAAAAUGGGUCCCACCAAACCAGCUUGGGGUAACUUAACCCAAGCCCCCUAAAAAUAACAAAAAAACACAGUUUUAGUUAGGGGUGGCCAAAUUCUGGUUUUUGGAACUGGAACUCUCAGUUCGAAACUGGUUGUAACCAAAACCGGAACCGUGCGGAGCCAGAACCGGCCAAAACUGGAACCGUAAUCGAGAGGUUGCGGUUGGUUUCGAUUCUAAAUUUUUUUUUUUUUUUUUUUUUUUUUUUUUUUAGAAUCGUGAACCGAAAGAUUCGAGAACCAACCGGAACUGAAGGUUUUGACAACCAGUUAAAUCCAGCGAUUCCAACCAGUUUCAACAUUUUUUUUUAUUUUUUCAAAAUUUUUUAUCAAAAUCACCAAAUUAACCCUCUUAACAACUAUAAACGGCUUUAUAACGUCCAGUUAUGUUAAGGGUACUUGUGUAAGUUAGAUUUUUUUUGUUUUGAAAUUAUGCGAACCGCACGGAAAACCGGUCGGAGAGCCGUCCGAAAUCGUCGCUUUUAGAACCAUUAAGAAGUCGAAACUGGAACUGUCAGUUUCCGGUUCGAUUCUGGUUCCACAUUAUUUGAGAUCGGAACAGGAGAUUCCAGAACCAUGGCCACCCCUAGUUUUAGCCUUCAUAAAACCAAAAUCCCUAAUUUCUCUCUCCUAUCUCCAUCGAUCCCCUUCUUUCUCACAUAUGACAAAAAACAUUUAUAACGUCCUCAAAUCUUCUACAUUUGAUAUAUCCAGAAAUCAUCACAUUCUAGGAAAUCACAUCUCUAUCAAACAUUUCAUCAAAUAGCUGCUUCAUAUCAUCAACUAGACCAAAUUGAGCAUAGAUGUCAACGAGCAAAGUUGCAUACAUAUAUAUCAAACUCCAACCCAAUUUUCACCAAUAACCCACAUAUCUUUUCACCCUCUAAAACCUCUCCUAAAAUCCAAUUGCCUUAAAAACAAAUGGGUAAGUGAAAUUAUCAGGCCAUGGCCCAUUUUCUCUCAAUUUAAGUGCAAAAGAGAUUUUCUAUAGCGACAUUUCUUUGCGAAUGCUUCGAUCAAGAGAUUGUAGAUGAGUGAAGAUGGAUUAUGUAUGUAAUUGAAGAGUCUCUUUGCGUAUUGCAAAUUUCCAUUGGAUGGUUCUGCGCAAAAAGUCAUUAGCUUGUUUUUUCGUCGGCGUUUUGGCGGAGAUCCAAAUUGUGUGUUUUUGUUAUUUUUAGGGGCUUGGGUUAAGUUAACCCAAGCUCGUUUGGUGGGACCCAUUUUUGUAUUAUUUUAUUAUAAAUCCUAGCUGAUUUUGAAUUUAGGGUGACAAUAUUUUUAAGUUUCUAAGUUGGGGUGCCAAGGGAACAAAAGUCAAUUUAGAGUGUUAUUGCAAGAUCAUGGUAUUUUUUGUAGGUUUAGCCUAAAAAAAACACCCUAAUUAGAAACUUUCUCCAUAUAAGGAAAACAGAGGAAGUACUAUUAUUUGAAAAACUAAUCUCCUUUGAACAUGAAAACAUAGGUAUCAGGAAUACGCCAAGACUUGUUUGCAAGUAAAAAACAUGAAGAUAAACUGCUCACUUGGAGUGAUGCGAGAAUAUUUGACAGAGCUUGGCCAUAAGUGUCAUGAAAGUGGACAGCAAGCUUAUCGAUAGGGACAACAUCGAGAACAGCUUCAAGCAUUGGAAUGACAGUACCUGGAACAAAGAAAUAAAACCAAAAUAACAGUGAAACGACUAAAAGUUUAAGUAGUUAAUUGUUUCAUUCUCUUUUUGGGGUAAGCUCUUGCUCAGGUUGAGCACAAAGAAUCCACAUGGUGUUAUGGGAGUGCCAUAGUAAUAAGGUCCUAUGGUCAAAGCAAGAGAAGUUUGCCAAGCAAUGAUGUUGAGAGCAACUUGUUUCCAUCAUUAAAAACACUUUUCAAAAUUCUCAUCUCUCAGUAAUAGCAGUUUUAAGAUAAUCUAAACAGCCUGAAAUACAACCUUUUGUGAAACAUUACAUUACUCACCAAUAAUGAACUAAUCAAAAACUCUAUUGACCAAAAUGAAUCCAGAACUUGGACAUGAAAUUGUAAACUAUGGUUUGGGGGGGAAUGACAAUCGUGAUUUUGGAUUCUUAGGCAUAUUAGGGGAGGUAACUAAUAGCAUCCAAUUUGCUACUAGUAUAGAAGGACCAAAUAAUUUCCUUGAUUUUUAUUUUUGUUCCCAUUGAGAAGCAUUAGUCUCACAUGCCAAACAGUAGGAAAAUACUACUUUAUUUGGUUUCAACUCAAUAGAACUUAUUUUCAAAUUUUACCAUCUUCAUAAUAAAAUAUAUUAUUUUCCCACGUGUAAGGGGUACCCCAAAAUCUAUGUGCAUAAUAAGGUAUCAAGUUGGUCUGUCUUAGUUUGGCUAUUCUUUGUUAUAAACAACUAUAAAUUGUAAGAUUUACAAGCCAAUAACAUGGGUGUACUAAAUUUAGAGUAACAUUUCAAAAUUCGAGUUUUAAUAUUUAUAUUUUAUUUGAUCAUAAUAGUAAUUGGUCCAAUUCUGUUUUGGAAAGUAAAGGGAUGUUGCAAAAAAUAGAUAUAUUGCAGUGUAAACAGGUUAUUUAUAACUUUUUUUUUUUUUUGAACUCAUAAUAUUGUUAUGUAUAGCUACUAAACAAAAAAUAGUCAUUGGAAACAUAACAAUAAACUGAAAUAAGACGGUGAGAGAAAUGGGUGCGUUUAGAAAUUGUUUUAACAAAAGAAAAAUGUGAAUAAAAGGAAAGGGGGCAGGAAUAAAGGAUAAAGGAGAAAAAUAAUAUACCAGUCCCUAUUAACUCUCUCUCUCUCUCCACACACACCCCCCACCACGCGCAGGNNNNNNNNNNNNNNNNNNNNNNNNNNNNNNNNNNNNNNNNNNNNNNNNNNNNNNNNAUAACUCUCCCCCCCUCCCCCCACCCCCCCCCCCCCCCCCCCCGGCCCCCUGAUGCUUUUAAGUUUGAACCUUGCACCUAGGACAUGCAUUUGAAAACACUAAGAUACAUGCUAGUGCUGCUGCUAACUACUGCACAAGGGAAUUAACACCAAUAGUAUUAGCCAAAGGCAGGUUCAGGCAUUACCAGGAGUACCGACACCAAUUGUAUCCCCCAGGGAAAUUUCAGAGCAACCCAUUUCAUAAAGUCGUUUAGCCACAUAUGCAACAUUUGAUGGAGAUACCAUUCCUUCGACAGGACACCCCACAACACAUGAUAUAUAUCUAAUAAUAAGAUAAAAAAACAAAAGGUAUUGGUUAAUCUAGGUCUUCAAUUUUCAUGAGGAAAAAUAAUCAAUACAUAAAUUGCAAUUAAAACAAUUCAGCCUUAUGUCUGAAACUUCUCAGAUUUGUCACAUAAUACUUAUGUAUUCUAUAUGAACCAUGCAUCAAAUUAAAAUUUCAAGAAGAAAAUUCAGCAAAGUUUUAUGGCAAAACCAGAAAGAAAUAUCCAUCAUGUAUACGGAGAAGUCCUAAAAAACUCACCAUUUUGAAUGCAAUAUAUCAUAAUGCGUCGUAUUAUUUAAGAAACCUCUCUUCUAAAGGUAUGAUAUCUUCUUUAAGAUUGUCCAUAACCAAACGUUAAAAAAUAAAAUGAAUUUCAAGAGAAUCACAUUCAGAUAGACUCCGCUAGAACUACUUCAAUUUUAGAACUCAAUGCAAAUAUUUGUGGUUUCCAGGACCAGGGUAAAAAGGUAUACCCACGAACAGGAAUUGAGAGCUUGUUGGCAGCAAGGGAAACAUCGUUAUAACGAACCAAACUAUCUUCAAUGGUGCAAUUGAUAUUCGACUUUGAAAAAGAUUCUGAAGCUGACGCAAAUAUGGCAACUUCUUUAGCUCCAGCUGCAACAGCUGCUUCAAAACCCUGGAAGAGAAAAACAUAAAAUAUCAGUAAAUCCUUCAUUAAGUUUUAUACUGUGUAUGAUUCCAUCAAUUUCUAAUUGCAGCUGCUUACUUUCAGAUUAGGAGUUAAUACUGGAAGUCGAGCUCCUUCAAAAUUCCUAACUGCUGCCAUUACGUCUUUCGCAUCUGCUAGCUGUAAAACAAUCAUGCAGGACCAUAGAUAAUUUGAGAACUAGCGCUCUUAUGAUAGGCAAAACUUGAACAAUUGAUAGAUAUUUUAGGAAUAAAAAUUAAGCAAUAAGUAGGAUUAGGAUACAGAUAUCAAUUAGGUAUAUGAUUUAUGUUCGGAUUUAAUAACAAAGAAGAGCUAGGAUUGAAAGCAAAGAAUAAGGGUUUUUCAAGUCAGCAGCUUAAGCCUGAGGUCUAAGCUUUGUUUGCCAAGUGUGAUUAGAGGAAAAAUGAUCAGAAAAAAGGAGAGACAACUUAGCAGUUGUUGGGCUGCUGGGAACAUUACCAUGGAUGUUAAUAGGCAUUUGGAAGACAUCACUCUAGAAAUUCAAGACCCAGGAUAACUCAAAUAUUAACAUUCCAUUAGCAACAUCCCAAGAAAAUAAUUUAUCAAAAUCCUUUAAAAGAAAUUUCCCAAUCAAAAUAAAAAAAAAAAAAAAAUCAUAAAUAAUAAGAAAAUUGUGUCUUCCCUAAGCAGGAGCGAUGCAGGAAAAUUUCCAUCUCUAGUAGUUGGAGAAAUAUUAUGGGCCUCAUAAGGGGAGGCACUUUCCAUUGGCAACUUAUUCAGUGUCAAGAAGCUACACAGAACUUGCAUAUGAAGAGUUUAGAUGAUUGAAACCAAAAUAAUUAAAUUUCUCCAUUCAAAAGAACAGACCAAUAAUGUUGUGAACCGCCAAAAAAAAUAGAAUAUACAUCAAACAAAUUCAGAAAACUCUAUAUUAGAAAAAAUAAAUAAUUUGAAAAAUAAGGAAAUGCUGAAAAAGGCUUUUCCACUAGAGAAGAGAAACAACACGGAUUUAGAAAUACAAAGAAGAAAAUAGAAAGCCAAUACAGAAAACUAUGUUAACAUAACAGGACAACUAAUUUGCAUGAGAAUAAGCCAAGAGAUUUGUGUAAGCUCUUUAAUUAUAGGCAAGCAAAACAAUCUUCCAAAAAAGUCAGAUUAUUUUUUCAGUAAACUCAACCCUCUCCUACCUGUGGUACCCAUUUUGGCGAGACAAAACUUGUAGCCUCAACAACAGGCAACCCUGAAGAAACUAGCAUCCUAAUCAACUCAACCUUUACAGCAGUAGGUACAAUCUCCUUUUCAUUCUGUAAUCCAUCCCUCGGACCUACUUCCACUAUCUUAACAUAUUCUGGAAUGCUUUUUAAAAGCUGCAGAAUCGAGCAUCGCAUUAGCACAAGAAACUGAAAUGUAUCAUGAAACAUGGAAAACAUGACAAGAGAAUCUCAAAGCACAAGAACUAAAUAGGUUGCAGACAAUAUCACAUGCUUCACUAAACAUAGCAAGUAAAUAAAUAACAAAUCCAGCUCAUAGUGAACCUGUUUAAUCAAUAGGCCUAAGAUUAAAGGAGAUGUAAGUCUCAAUAUAACUACCGAAAUCACUUAUAGUAACAUUUUCUGCAAUAUCUACAUAGGAAAGAAAAUUUUUUUUAUAGAGUUGCUUCACCUUAUUUGCAAAUUCCCUGGAGUGUUUGUCAUUUGGGUUAGAGUUAUAAUAGCGUUUUGACAAAUGCCAAUCAUGACAAGAAACAUUAUCAAUUUCCAUAGAGUUCCAUUGCAAACCAACUCGAGAUAUAUUUCGUCUUUGUCCACUCCAUAACAUUGUCCCUUGUGAUUCACUGCAAUGGAAUGUGAAUAAAAGUAAGAACAGCAAAUUCAAUAAUCAUUAUUCUGUUUGGAAUAUUUCUAUUGAAAUCAUCAAGGAAGAACAAUAGAUGCUUAUGAUUAGCUCUCUAUAACAUGAUUACACUGUGUCAUUCCCCAAUGAGUGAAUCUUGUAAAGAAAAACAAUAGAUGCUUCUGCUUCGUUCUCUAUAACAAAACAUAUUGUACAAACUUUUAUGAAGAAAAAUAACAAAUGUUAGACCACCUGUAUUGCCUUUCAUUCAACCUAACAAAAAGAUUCUAAUAUCUUAUUUAACAGAAAUAUCUAGACUAUACUUAAAUUCCACAUAUAUAACAUGAAAUUUCAAAAAUAUACAUACACGCAAUUACAAACCUCAAAUGUCAGUACCCACAAGAAAAACAGAAUCAGAAAAAUGGGUAUGAUUUGAAUACUGAAAAGAUAAAAGGCAAGUUCUUACUUGGCACCUUUUAAAGAGAAAUUCGAUUGAAACGAGGUGUUUCCAUGGAAGCAGCAGCUAUUAUCCGAAUUAAUCAUCAAGGGGAAAUAGGUAGGAUUAGACAAUAGAGUGUAAUGACGGUAAAGCUUAUCCAAAGCUUUCUUGGAGGCCAGCAUCGCAUAAUCAAGAUUCAAGACAGCGUAAUGGAGUAUUUAUCGAAGACAAGGAGAAAAAAUGUUAAUCCGAAUCCACUCACUUGAUAAACCAAUUUUUUAUUUGAAUCACCUUGAUAAUCUGAUAUCUUGGUUGUUUCUUAUUUCAGUUUUUAUAUUUGGGAAGAAGAUGAAUACAGCGAUGAACAAGGGAGUUCAUAAAAUUGCAAAGAGAGGGAAGGAAGGAGGGAGGAGAUUAUGAUGGCAUUUCAGUAAAAGCAGCAGAGUCUUGGUCUGCUCAACCAAAGAUAAUUCAUAUAUAUAUAUAUAUAUAUAGGUUAAUAAUAAAUUUGUUGUCCAACUAUUUAAAAAUUUUUUCAUUUUGGCAUUUGAACGAAAAAAAUUUUGUAAUUAAGUAUUCAAAUUAAAAAAAAAUUGAUCAAUCAAAUGUCCAUGUGACGGGCCGAAUUUCCAAACAGGACGAUUUGGCUCAUCCAUCCAAUUAAAACAUGUUGCCUAGGCACCAAUUCAUUUAUCAAAUAUUGAAGAAAGAAUAUGCGCAUGAAAGUCACAUGACUUCAUUAGAGUUGAAAUUCUAACUUUAAUCCUUAAGCCUUACAAAUCUAACAAACCCUUUGACGCCUCUCAUCUUUGGACCAUAAUCCAUACACCGCCAUCAUCAUGUUCUCCAGUUUUUGCGAUCAUUUAUGCUUUGGCAUCGGCCUCAAAGCACUAAGUUUUAUCACCGAUCGUUCCCACAGUCGCCACUACUAAUUUCUCAUCUUACUCUUUGUCCGCCUCUGAUUCCUACCCGAUAUCCUCCAUCUUGUCUAUCUUGGUAAGUCUCGCUAUCGCUAUCUCAUUGGCUCUAAUAGCACGAAGUAAACAAAUAUGCAGUGAAAUCUGAAAGUAUGUGUGGUGCUAUUGUGGUGGGUUCCAGAACGUGAUAACCCAAGUUGUCAUUAUGAGAUGGAAAGAUUUUUAACUAAAUCUCUUCUGAUAUAUUACAUGUUAUCUUUUGAUAUUCUACAAAAGGAUUUAACAUGAUAUUUAAAUUAAAUGGUAUUUUGAAUGAUGCAUUUUAAUGAUAUUUUUAUAGUUAAAUAAAGUAUUCUAUGUGUUUGUAUAGAUAGGACAAUCUAUUUACCGAAGGGUUGAUCAUUAUGUAGGAAAUUGUUGUGUAUAUAUAUUUUCCAUAAGUUGUACUAUUGAUUUUAUAGGAAAGCUUAGUUUGACUCAUUGUGGUUCAUGUUAAAAAUAACUUUAAUAUAGCCUAGAUCUUAUAGUUCAGAAUUUGUUCAAUAAGAAUACACAAUAAGCGGAAGCGUACCUUGAUCCGUAACAGUAGAUCUAUGUUAUAGACUACCUUGUUGCGACAAUUCGAUUCUCACCGUAUUAGCAGAUCUAUGUUUCUUCACGCUGACCUUUUGUCCGUAAGUUCUCUCUUAAUGGUCAGAGAAUUAUCAACACCACGGGAGUUUUCUUUUCACGCUCUCUCAAACAAUCUAUCUCCGUAUGUGUUUGGGGUAGCCGUCACACUCUCUUACCCUACGCUGUUGAUUUCCUUACUCUUUUAUAAGGCAGAGGAAGGGUAUUAAGACCCUAACUGGUCCUUAUCCAUUAAGCCCAAUAACCAUCAUCUUGGGCCACCUUAAUUAGAACCAACCCUUUAAUCACAUGGGCCGCAUAUAGAUUAUUAAAUAAUCUAACAAUCCACUGACCAUUCUAGCAUCAAGCUUCUUUUCAUGUGGAUUAUAUAUCCUGACUUCUGCUGGGCAACCCCAAAUAUGAAGAUGUCUUAAACUAGGUUUCCUUCCCGUCCACAGUUCAUAAGGGGUCUUAGGAACUGUUUUGCUAGGAACCCUAUUAAGUAAGUAUGCAAUAGUCUUUAAUGCAUGCAUCCAUAAUGAUAAAGGUACAGUACAAUUAUUCAACAUACUCCUAACCAUUUUCAUAAGAGUACGAUUCCGCCUUUCAGCUACACCAUUCUGUUGAGGUGUACCCGGCAUUGUGUAUUGCACACAAAUGCCACGACUUUCAAAGAACUUUGCAAAUGGACCUUGACAUUGUCCAUUUUCAUUAAAUUUACUAUAAUAUUCACCACUUCUAUCAGAUAUCACCACGUUAACUUUUCUAUUUAACUGCCUCUUUACCUCAUUAAUGAAUAUCUCAAGGAUAUCCAAUGAUUGAGAAUUUUCAUGCGGCAAAUAUACAUAACCGUAUUGUGAGAAAUCAUUGAUAAAGGUAAUAAAAUAUUUUUCACCACCCCAAAAGGGAACAUCAAAAGGACCACAUAUAUCAGUGUGUACAAGUUCAAGCAAUUCACUGCUUCUUGUGGCUGGAUUCUUUAAUGUGUGCUUAGUUUGCUCACCUUUAAUGCAAUUUGUACGCACGUCCUAGUCAGUGAAGUCCAAUUGAGGUAAGAUUUCACCUUCUACUAAUCUCAAAAUCCUUUCUUUGGAUAUGUGACCUAACCUUUGAUGCCACAAGAAAGCAGAACAUUCAUUAUGUGCACUACGUUUAUUACCUAUAUUGUGUUCAACAUUAAACAGAGAUUCAAUAAAUUCAGAAUCAAGAUUAAAACGAUACAAACCAUCAAUCAAAGUACUAGAACCAUAAUAGUACUUAUGUUUGUAUAACGAAAAAACACCAUUACAAAUCUUAAAACUAAAACCAACAUUAUCCAACCUCCCUACAUAAACUAAAUUUCUAGCACAUUCAGGAACACAGAGACACUUUUCAAGAUCCAGAUAACAACCAGUGUCCAGGAUCAAUCUAUAAGUCCUAAUUCCUUCUAUUGAUGCCUUCAUUCUGUUUCCCAUGUAUAGGAACUUUUCAGUUUCGUUUAUGGGUUGGAUCGNNNNNNNNNNNUUUCUUUUCAAACCAAAUCUUCCUUUUAGGACAGUCCUUCUUAAAGUAACCAUUCUUCCUAUAGAAGUAGCACUUCAACUCCUUACGGAUUUGGCCCUCAUUAACCUUCAUAGGGGCACUGUCCCUUUUCUUGCCUUUCUUCCCUGAUUUGUUGUUGUUACUGCUAUUAGCUCCAUUAUGAAAUGUGAGAUUGAUAGAGUGUUCCUUCAAUUUCUUUAAUCUCCCUUCCUCUUGUAUCAACAUCGCCUUGAUUUCCUGAAUAUUCCAUUUUUCCUUAAGGGUGUUGUAAUUCACCUGGAACUGACCAAACUCAANNNNNNNNNNNNNNNNNNNNNNNNNNNNNNNNNNNNNNNNNNNNNNNNNNNNNNNNNNNNNNNNNNNNNNNNNNNNNNNNNNNNNNNNNNNNNNNNNNNNNNNNNNNNNNNNNNNNNNNNNNNNNNNNNNNNNNNNNNNNNNNNNNNNNNNNNNNNNNNNNNNNNNNNNNNNNNNNNNNNNNNNNNNNNNNNNNNNNNNNNNNNNNNNNNNNNNNNNNNNNNNNNNNNNNNNNNNNNNNNNNNNNNNNNNNNNNNNNNNNAUUGUCAUCCUCAUUAAGUUCAAGCUCAGCCUGUUAGACCGUUCCCAAGCCUCAUAAUGGGACUUGUCAGCUUCAGUGCUGGUCUCUGUAAUAGCUGCUGGCUUUUCGGAGACUAAUACCAAAUCCAAGUCCAGAACUCCUAACUAUACUAGAUUUGUUCGGACCAAUCAGCAUAGUUCAAUCCAUUGAACUUAAUCAACCCAAUGCCCAUAACAAACAUGUUAAAAGAAGCUGCAACAUUAUACAUAUACUCAUACGUUAAUACUUUGAGUAAACAUAAAAUGGAUUCAAACAGACUUUCAUUGAUGUGGAGCAACUUGCGAACCUUUAUGCAAGUCAAAAAGAAGCACGCCCGUGCUUCACUAUAGCACGCCCCGUGCUUCUCUAUGGAAGUUAGGGCACGGCCGUGCUCAUUGCAGCAUGCCCCGUGCUUCUCUCUAGAAGUCAAUUAUGUUUCUUUUUAUUCCUUUCAACUAUUCCAUAAUGCUCCAUACAAUAUGCAUGUUAUCUUUGGAUAUACAUUCAUAUUAAUUAGUACAAUGAUAAGUCUCUUUCAUACCAUUGAUUAUAAUUAAUGGUCUACCUUUGGGUAACCUAACAAAUUAUAAUCAAUGAUCUCAAUUGUUCAAUUUUAACUUNNNNNNNNNNNNNNNNNNNNNNNNNNNNNNNNNNNNNNNNNNGCAUAAUCAAUGUCUAAAAUAAUCCAAACAAGGCCACUUUGGUGACUAACAAGUUUUCUAUUCAUUAAACAUUGAUAUGCAAGACUUUUAUGAGAUUGAAUUAAGAUCUCAAAACUUUAACGAUAUAACAUAAUAAGAUGUCAUAACCUUCCUUUUUAUAAAUACAAGCAGAAUAAUUUAUAAAGCAUAAAGAACACAAACAGUUUUCAAUUUCUAUAAUUUUGGCUUCAUUUAUACUAGAUAAAUCAACUUCACAAUACAAAAUUAAUUUCCAUUAAUUAAGCCAAAUAAAACACUAUCUAACAAAUCUAGAAUAGGGACUAGGCUCUAAUAACACAUGUUAAAAAUAACUUUAAUAUAGCCUAGAUCUUAUAGUUCAUAGAAUUUGUUUAAUAAGAAUACACAAUAAGCGGAAGCAGACCUUGAUCCAUAACAGCAGAUCUAUGAGAUUACCUCGUUGCGGCAAUUCGAUUCUCACCGUAACAGCAGAUCUAUAUUUCUUCACUCUGGCCUUUUAUCCGUAAGUGCUCUCUUAAUGGUCAGAGAAUUAUCAACACCACGGAAGUUUUCUUUUCACGCUCUCUCAAACAACCUAUCACCGUAUGUGUUUGAGGUAGUCGUCACACUCUCUUAACCUACGCUGUUGAUUUCCUUAAUCUUUUAUAAGGCAGAGGAAUGGUAUUAAAAUCCUAACUGGUCCUUAUCCAUUAAGCCCAAUAACCAUCAUCUUGGGCCACCUUAAUUAGAACCAACCCUUUAAUCACAUGUGCCACAUAUAGAUUAUUAAAUAAUCUAACAGUUCACGCCAUAUUUUAAAACUUUUUUCCAAUACCAUGUAGAUGAUUUUGCUAUAAAAAUUUGUUAUAAUUAUUAAAUCUACCAUAGACCAUACUGCCCAACACACAGCUAUCAGCUAUAUUAACACAAAUGUUGGCUAUCAGCCUCAUCCUUCUUUGAUUUCUUUUUUAAUAGUAAGACAUUAACUUUGUAGUAUCUGUUUGUAUAUUUUUAUAACAUCUUGAUCUUAAGUAUUAUUGUUUUAUCUAGGUCAUACUAUACAUGGCUUUUUCUAUUGCAUAUCUUAAUGAAAGGCUUCGCAAGAUAUUUAAAAAGAUACAUCUAAGCAUUACAACUUUUUAAUAUAGCUCAAUGAAGUAUAAUUUUAUAAUGCAUUUUAUGAUCAUUUAUCAUACAAUUUUGUUUUUUUUUUUUUUUGAAUGAUGUUAUAAAAGAUUAUUUCAUCCUUUAAUAUCGCUCUGCAUCACUCGGGUUCUAACACUAGUAAAGAUAAUAAAUGAUGGACUUAUAUUUCUAAAAUCUAAUUAUAAAAUAUCUAAAUUAUGAUUUUAAUGUUAAUCAAUAUUGCUUUUUAAUAUAUGGUUGAUUCACUUUUCUCAUAAUCUUUGUUUUUGAAGGAAAGGAUCAAAGUAUUAAUGAAAUGAUAAUUUUCAUUUUCAUUUUCAAAGAAAUGAUAAUUUAAAACUUUAAAAAAAUGAAAGGGUAAUUUAUAGACUUGAUAAUUAGUUUUUUAAAAUAAAAACUCUCAUACUAAUUUAGAUACAAUUUGAACAUCAAUUUAUUUUUUUUAAGAUAAUAUAAAAAAUGGCGGGCGAGUGCUUAAAACUUAUUUAAGAAUAUAAAAGACCAUUUUAUAAAUGGUGAGCCACGUUUAUCAAAUUUUUUUUCCCUUGAAGAAAGAUGGUAUUUAUUAAUGCCUUCGAGCCUCAAAAUAUAAACAAUACAAUUAGGUGGUGAAGAUCACUCCAUCAAAUCUGACAUAAAAUUGGCACCGUUUGUUAAAGCGUGAGCCACAUCAUUCGCAGACAUACACGCAAAAACAACCGACAUAUUAAAAGUUUAUCUAAGAAGAGAUUUACAGUCAUUGACUAUAGACCCACAAGAUGCUAUGUCUGAAUAGGAAUAAUCAUUAAUUGGCCAACCACAAUCUGGGCAUCAGCCUCUAUAAUGAUAUUAGUCCAAUUAUGUGUUUGAUCUCUCUAAUGGCAAAGGCUUCGGCCUCCUUAGGGCCAAAAUUACCAACCAUCGAACACUGCAAGGCUUUCUUGAAUUGUCCAACUACAUCUCUAAGAGCAACCAGCUCCAAUACGAGAGGGAACCAAAACAACAUCUAUAUUCACUUUGAUCCAACUGCAGGCAAAGGAACUUAAACAAAAGAACCAGAAUCAAACCUUACAACGUCUGUCAGAGCUUUAGCAGAAAACCAGUCAUUUAAUGUUGUCCGCGCAUGAUUAACCACCUGAGCUACCGAAUACCAUUUAUCAUUCUAGACCACAUCAUUCUUUAAUUGCCAUAUUGACCAACACACCAUACCAAUUAAUUUUGCAUUCUCCAUAAAUGCAAGAAUCAACACUAAUGAUGUCCACUUGAGAAAAGUAGAAGUAUUAGAAAAAGCCCAUCCUGCAUCAUUAAAGCCUAACAAUUCCUUGCAAAAGAGCAAGAGACCAGAACAUGCAUUAUAAAUUCUGAGUUACCAUGACCGAGAGCAAAUAUUAGUAAUCGACACCCUUUUUAACUGAGGAGGUUUGGACAAGGUAAAACAUUAUUACAGGCUCGCCGGAUGAAAUUAUUAACUUUCAGAGGAAUCUUUAACUGCCAUAAUUUAGCCUAUGUAUUUCUAACAUGAGCAGUGGUAAAAGAAUCCAAAUGAGUCAAAUGUCAAUAAGCACUACACAGAGAAUAAACUCUCUCACUCUCCAAUUUCCAUGCCCAACGAUCUCUCGGAGGAUUAAGGUUAAGAGGGAUAGAUAAUAUGGAUGGUUUUUCAUCAUCAUUAAAAAUUAGAAGAGAUAAUUUACUAUUCUAAUGAUAAUUAAGAAUCAAGUCUCAAACUAUAAAGAAUUGUGAACUGGAGGUUUAGGAGUGAUGAUCUUCAAACCUGUUAUAAAGUUUCAUAGUGGAUAUCUAUUUGUGAUAAAAGGAAAAUCAAUAAUGCCAUAGUAAUAAUAAGAGGGACAGAAAAUUUUAUGUGGUUUAAAGGUAAAGUCUACAUGCACAGGCAAAUGAGAAUAAAAUCCACUAAUUAAUAGUAAAAAUACAAAGUACAAAGUGAGAGAUAACACCCAAAAUCCUAAACCCAAAAAUAUCAAAAUCUCACCAAUAUUUAUCUCUCUUAAAAUUAUAAUGGUAAUUAAUUAUUGACAAAAUUACCAUACCUAAAUUAGGAGAAAAAAAUGGGCAAGAGAGAACACUCUCAAAAUAGAAAGUCUCACACACUCCACUUAUAUUUCUCGUCCAACUAAAAAAUGGCCAAACAGCUAUGAUCUCUAUACUUUACUGAAUCCAUAAUGCUUUGCACCUAAGAUAAGUUAACUUCGUGCUUUGUACCCAAGCAAAACAAUACAAAGACUUUGGCUUGAAGACAAAGUUGUGGGCUUCUAGAAAUCAAGACACUAAUAAAUCUCCACCAUGACUUGAAUUUUCUAGAUUCAAAAAUUGAUAGAAUUUCUUCACCUUCUCCAUUUAGCCCUUAAAGGACAAAACUCCAUUUUGAGAAAUAUCAACCAAGUCCAUGCAAUGCAUGAACCUGUUCAUUGGAAGAAGUUUAGUCAUCAUAUCAGAUGGAUUCUCUGCAUUACUAAUCUUUUUAACUAAAAUGUUAUAUUUAGAAGUAACAUUACAAAUAAAAUGGUACUUAAUAUUAAUGUGCUUCGUCCUCUCAUGGAACAUCUGAUCUUUUGCUAAAUGAAUAGCACUCUGACUAUUACAGUGGGCGAUAGUCACCCGUUGAUUUGAACCGAGUUCACCAAAUAAACAUCUUAACUAUUUAGCUUCCUUUAUAGCUUCAGCUACUACCAUAUACUCUACUUUAGUUGUAAAUAGGAAUUGCCACUGAUUCGGUUUGAAUCGAAAUCGAACUGUACUAUAGAUGAACUGAAAUUAAACUAGAACUAUCAGUUGAAAAUUUUAAACCAAAACCGGCGGUUCAAUGCCGGUUAAGGUUCAUGUGAAUAUUAAAAUUUAAACCUGAACCGACCCAAAAAAUAAUAGUUUCAGUCUAGUUUACUGAAAAUUUUCUAUUUUUAUUUUCAAAAUUACAAUCAUUUAGCCUAUUUAAAAAUUAAAAUCUAAAAAGUAAAAUGAUAAAAAAAGGUGAAAUAUUUAGGUGGUGUACUACAUUAGGAUUGUGUAAGAUUUUAAAAGAAUUAUCAAGUUUGAUGGAAUUAAAGAAUUUCUUAAGAUUUCUUCAGAUUCCAUUAGAAUUCUACAAAGAGUUUUAUGGAAUUUGUGAGACUUUUGUUUUUUAGAUUUUGAUUGACUUUGAUGGAAUUACAAUGAUAUCUAUAUCCAAUCAAAAUUAAUUUCAAGACCUAAUUGAACAAAUUAAAAGGUUUUCAAGCCCAAUUGAAAAACUUAAAAACAAUGAGGGAACAAAAAAUAAAAUGCGUCAUCUUCUCCAAAGUCGUUUUUUUCUUCAUUAAAAUCUUGCCAUCGCCGAUAAUAAAAAGCUUGCAAUUACUAACUGUAAUGGAUAUGGGUAGGUACAUGUAUAUAUCUUUGGAUACUCGCUACCUGUUAACUAUUAUAUUAAACAGGUUUGGUAAUGGGUAUCUGUAGGUCCUUAUCCAUUAUUAGUAAAAAAUAUAUUUUAAAUAAGUUCUAAUUUGGAUAGUUUAAGAUAGUGGGUACCCUACCCGUUAAAGAUGUACUUUAAACUGAUUUUGGACAGAUACGGAUAGUAAAAUUUAAACAGGUUCGAAUAUGAGUAUUUAAAUGAAUAUCUUUAAAUUGGUUUUGGACAGAUACGGAUAGUAAAAUUUAAAUAAGUUCGAAUACUGAUACUUGAAUGAGCAUUUAAAUGGGUUUAGAAUGGAUAUGAGUAGUAAAAUUUUAAAUGGAUACCUAUACUAGUAGUUUAAAAUUUACAGGUACCCGCUGUGCUUCCAUCCUUAUUAAGAGAUGUAUUGGAUUAAGAAUCUGUUAGAUUUUAAAACAUUUUUGAAAUCUUUGGGUUGGAAGAUGGAUUUGUGAAUGGCUCUUUUAUUCAUAUCUAACAACCUAAAAUCCAACGAAAUCAAUAAUUUUAUAAAAAAAUCCUUCCAAAUCAGUAAUUUUUUGAAUAUCAUUAAAUUUGUAUGGAUUUUUAAAAAUUCUUAAUAGAAUAUUAUCAGAUUUUUAUAGAUUUUACAAGAGUCUGAAUUGAAUACCACAAGAUUUUAAUAGACUUCAAAAAACUCUAAAUUGAAUACCAUUGGAAUUUUAAAAUCUUUUAAAAUCUAACAGACUCUUAAUCCAAUGCACCCCUCUUAGUCUAAAAAUUAUAUUGUUUGAAACAAAUGGGAGUUUAAUUCUUUAAAAUUUUUUACUUAGUUCAAAAUUACAUUGUUUGAAGCAUUUUUCAAAAUUUUCUAAUAAUUUAUCUAAUUAAUAAUAUUUAAACAAAAUAAAAUGAUAAUUUAUUUGAUUUUUUUAUAAAAUUAAUUAAUUAUAAUUUUUUUAUAUGAGUAUGGCAUUCUAAAAGUUAUUUAAAAUAAAAUUUAUCAAGCAUUUUUUAAAUUCAAAUUAAUUUUUUUGAAAGAAAAACGUAUUAGAACCAAAAUUUUAUUUUUUAAAAAAUAAAACACAUAUUGUUGAAAAUCGAAUCGGAACUGUCGAUUCAUUGGAACCGCCUCAGAAUCGAUCGGAACCAAAACCUGUGGUUCAAGGGCCGAAUUCAACAUUUUAAAAAUCUUGGACCGGCCAUGCCUAAUUGUAGAUAGCACAAUUGUAGACCAUAAUAUAGCUUUCCAACUAAUAGUAGUAUGACCAAGUGUAAAAACAUAGCCAGUAAUGGAUCUCCUUUUAGCAAGAUCAUUUGCACAAUCUAAAUCAAUGAAACCAGCCACAUUAUUGUUACUUUUGCCAAACUUUAAACAAUAGUCUGUAGUGCCUUGUAAAUAUCUUAAAAUCCACUUCACUGCCUUCCAGUGCUCUUUUUCAGAGUUAGACAUGUAUGUGCUAACUACAUUGAUUGCAUGUGCGAUAUCAGGCUGAGUACACACCAUUGCAUACAUGAUACUAACAAUAGCACUUGAUUACUUACGAAAAAUUUCUUAAUCAAAUUCAUUUGAGAAAGAUAUAAAGUACCUGUAGUUUUGUUCCUCUAAUCUCUAUACCCAAAAUCUUCUACCCAGCUCCUAAAUCCUUCAUCUCAAAUUCACCGCUCAAUUCUUGUUUCAACUUGUUGAUCUCAAAUAUAUUCUUGGCAACAAUAAGCAUAUCAACAACAUACAACAAUAAAUAAACAAAUGAGCCAUCAUCGAACUUUCAUACAUAGUUAUCAUAUUGGCUUCUAGAAUACCUAGUGUUGCACCAUAAAGGAAUCAAGCCUUUUGUACCAUUGUUAAGGAGAUUGUUUCUAGUCAUACAAUGAUUUCUUUAAUAAGCAAACAUGGUCUUUCGUGCCUUCAAACUUCAAAACCUUCAAGUUAUUGCAUAUAAAUUUUCUCCUCAAGUUCACCAUGCAAGAAGGCAGUCUUGUAUCCAGUUGUUCUAACUCUAAAUCAUACAUAGCAACUAAUGUAAGUAAGACUUGAAUAGAGGUAUGUUUAACAAUAGGUGAGAAACUAUCAUUGAAAUUAAUUCCUCGAACCUAACUUUAACUGUAGCUCUUUGCAACCAAUCGAGCUUUGUAUCUAGAAUCUUCAACACCUGGAGUUCCAUUUUUCUUCUUGAAAGAUCCAUUUGCAUCCAACAAUCUUCUAUCUUUUAGCGGUCUAACCAAUUUCAAAUUUUGAUUUUUAUAAAGAGAUUUCACCUUUUCUUGCAUAGGAACUAGAUGUUUGGCUAAAUCAUCAUAAGAGAUUGCUUUUGAAUAUGUAGAUGGCUCACCAACAACGUUUGCUUCUUGUGCCACUAACAAUGGAAAAGGAACAUAAUCUAUAUCAAACAAUCUUCUGGUGAUCAUCUCCUAUCUUCUUGGCCUUUAUAAUCCUUUUAUGAUAAUGUUUCUAUCUGAACUAGGGAAGGCAACUAAACUGGGCCUUAUUCUAAAGAAUCAUUUUAUGGGGGUACACAUUUCAUCUCAAACUCCCCCUUCUUAGCUAAAUCUUUUGGAAUUAUGUCAGAUGAAGUAGGAGAUUCCCUUUUGGAUUAAUCAUCUCGACUUUAUUGAAAAUGACAUCUCUACUGAUUACUGACUUUGAUGGCUUGCGAUCAAGAAGCCACACUUUAUAUCCUUUGACACCAACUAGAUAACCAAUGAAAAUACCCUUUAUAGAUCUAGGCUCCAAUUUUCCUUCAUGUGUAUAGACAACCAAAUAUCUUUAAAUUAGAACAAUCAGGAGGGUUUCCUGACCAUACCUUUUCUGGAGUUUUCAAACCAAUAACUGUUGAUGGAGAAUGAUUCACCAAAUAGCAUGUUAUCGAAGCUGCUUUUGCCUGAAAACUUUCAACAAACUAGAAUUAGAUAACAUGCAAUAGAUCUUUUCCAACAGAGUUCAAUUCAUGGAUUCAGCAACAUCAUUUUGUUGAGGAGUUCCUCUGAUUAUAUGAUGUCUUACAAUUCUUUAUCUCUACAAAAUUUGUUAAAUUCAUUACCAUGGAACUCUAAUCCUUUAUCUAUAUGAAGCCGCCUAAUCUUUUUACUUGUUUAUCUUUCUACCAAAGCCUUCCAUUAUUUAAAAGUGGUAAAUACAUCAUUCUUGUGCUUCAGAAAAUAAGCCUAUACCUUCUUAGAGUAGUCAUCAAUGAAAAUGAGCACCACCUUUCGAAGUAACACGAGUAGGCCCCCAAGGAAGUGAAUGGAUAUAAUCUAAAGUGCUCUAAUGUUAUGAACUGUUAUGCUGAAACAGACUCGCUUCUGUUUGCCGAAGAGACAAUGUUCAUAGAACUCCAAUUUGGUUAUACUUUAGCCACAAAGAAGACCCCUUUUACUCAAAUUUUCCAAGCCUUUUCACUCAUAUAUCCCAACCUCAUAUGCCAUAAUUUGAUUUUAUCGAAAUCUGCAGCAGCUGUACCAGUUAUUACAAAUGCUAGUAGCACAUAUAAUAUGCCAAAUCAUUGCUCCUUUAUUACAGGAGUGCACCCUUAGCAACCUUCACAAAGCCUUUUUCUCUACUAAAUUUGUGACCACUCAUCUCUAAUGUACUUAAGGAGAUAAGAUUUUUCCACAUGUCUAAAACUUAUCGAACAAUAGUCAAUGUCCUAUUACAUUGUCAGACAUUUUGAGUUUUAUUGUACCGAUUCCUAAAACAUUUAGUGUUUCAUCAUUUGUCAUCAACACAACAUCAUUAGUAGGUUCAGGAGUGGAGAACCACUCUUUGUGGACACACAUAUGAAAUGAUGCACCAGAAUCUAAAUAUCACUUACAUGUGGAUUUAGAUUCAACCACAAAUGGACAAAGCUCAUAAGAUUACCAUCUUCCACAACAUUGGCUUCAGCAAUAUUGUUUUGGUUUUGUUACUUAUUUUUCAACUUGAAGUAAUCAGCCUUAAUGUGCCAUUUUUUCUAGCAAUAAUUACAAGAUAGAUUCUAAUGUCUUGAUUUUGAUCUGGUUUUGGAUCUAUUACUGCUGGCUGAAUCUCUGUUUAUAGGUUUUUCUCUAACAAAUAGGCCUUCUGAUAGACUGUAAUUACUUUAAGUGAGCCCUUUAUCCAUAUGCUCAUUUGAAAACAAAGAUGAUUUUUACCUCCUCCAAAGUAAUAAUUGUCUUGUUGAAAAUUAGAGUAUAUCUAAAAUUCUUAUAAGACAGAGCAUACUAGAAUUCUUAGACUUUGAUACCAGUUGUUAUAAAGUUUAAUGGUGGAUAUCUAUUUGUGAUAAAGGAAAAAUUAAUAAUGCGAUAACAAAAUGAUAAGAGGGAUAUAAAAUUUUACAUGGUUUAACGUAAGCCUACAUCCACGAGAGAAAGAGCAUAAAAUUCACUAGUUAACAGUGAAAAUACAAAGUACAAAGUGAGAGAUAAAAAAUUCUAAACCCAAAAAUACCCAAAUCUCACCAAUAUUUUUCACUCUUAAAAUUAUAACAGUAAUUAAUUAUUGACAAAUUUACUAUAACUAAACUAGAAGUAGAAAAAUGGGUAAGAGAAAACACUCAAAAUGGACUGUCUCACACACUCCACUUAUAUCUCUUAUCCAACUAAAAAAUGACCAAAUAACCAUGACCUAUAUUUAUAACUUUGCUGACUCCAUAAUGCUUUGCACCCAAGGUAAGUUAACUUCGUGCUUUGUAUCAAAGUAAAGCAAUGCAAAGACUUUAACUUGAAGACAAAGUUGUGUGCUUUUAGAAAAUCAAGGCACAAUCAACAAAACUAGCAGUAGAAGGCAACUAAGGAUCAUCCUAAAUUAAGAUACUAGAAUCAGAACUCACUUGCCAAUAAACACCCUCCUUAAUAAGUUUCCUUGAUUCCCCAAUGCUCCACCACAAAAAGCUUGGGUUAGAACUUGACAACACCUCUAAAAAAGAAGAAGAAGGAAAAUAACGUGACCCAACAUAGCCAAAUUAAAUUGAUGGAGUUUCUUAAAAACCAAAGCACCCAUAUUUUUAACUUACUCAUAUGAUGCCAACUCACCCAAUGAAUUCCCUAUUCAUGAUGCACUCUGUUGCACCACCAAUAAGAUAUCAUAAUUUGCUGUAAAUCCGAACACAGUUUUAAGGGGUAAAAAUGAAUUCAUAAUAUAAUUGGGAAGCACUUGAAUCACCAUUUUUAACAUAACCUCCUUACCAACCAGUGAAAGAUAACAACGCUUUUAUGAAUUAAGCUUCUUCCACAUUUUGAUUUACAUUUAUUGAUUUUAAGCAUCGUAAAAAAUUGAAUUAUAUUUAAAAUAAUGAGGGUAAAAUUAGAAAAAAUUAAUUGAUACUCUUCAAUUUUUUUAAAAAACCUUAUAUGAUUGUAGACAAAAAUAACUUUAAAAAACAAAAAGGAUAAAAAAAUUGGUAGAAUUAAACCUUAAUAAUUUAUUUAUAUGACAAAUGUUAAACUAAAUUUCUCAUCCACCUUCCACUCUCUAAUUUGCACCUCUUUACUUAUUUUAUUUUUCCUUAAAUUUAAUAUUAAUAUUGAAAGAUUUUAUCUACUUAGAACAAUGGAUGAAAAAUAUACAAUUCCUUCAAUAAUUUAUUAUUAUUAGUUUGAUUUCUCAUGAGAACAAUAACUAGUUCUUUUUUCGAAUUUCACUUUUUUAUCGGUUAAUUUGCUAAUAGUAUCGCAUAUUACCUGCAAAAUUGCAUAACCAUGCUAGUACAUGUACACACCCACAAUUACAAUGAAUAGCUCAUUCCUCUUCCACAAUUACAAUGAAUAGCUCAUUCCUCUCUCAACAUGAAAAGAAACCAACGUCAGCUACUUCACGAGACAAGAUGAUGGAAUUUAAGGAAAUUGCAAUUGAGAAAGCUAUUAGAAAAAAGCAUCACCUUCUCUUUUGAUUUUUCAUCACAAUAAAUAUUUUUCUAUAUAUUUUUUCAGGCAUUGCCUGCCUCUGCAAUAUGAAGUUCAUGACAUAGCGAGACACAGUUCCCACGUACUUCUAAUGUUAACAUCUUCAAAAUUUUGACUGGUAAAUUAUAAUAUGAAAUUUCUAAACUAUGAUUCUCAAAGCCCUUGACACUUCAAGACCCUUAACAAAACUCUUUCAUCAAAUCAUUGUACUCAGAAAUGUUACAUGUUGAUGAUGAUCUGAAUUGCAAUUGAUGGCUCUAGACUAUUACACCCACAAUCUCCCGAUAAAAAAUGGUCUGAGUGCUGAAGUAAACUCACAGUUGGUCAUUUUGCUAUCUAAACUGUGCACCAUAUCUUCAGCACGAGACAAAUGAAAUCUAGUCUUUGGACGAUCAGUUCUCCUAGUUUCUGCGCAUUUUUUUCUUCAUUUUGUCUUGCUCUCGGUAUCUCUCCCGCCGUAGUUCUCUUUGACGCUUUCUUGUCAAUUGUUCAUCCUUAGCUUUAUCUGCUUCAUAUUCUUUUCUCUUCUGUUCUUCCUUAAGCUUUCGCUUCUUCAUCUGCAAAACCAUAUAGAAAGCAUGAGCUAUUGAUAGUAGUUGAAAACUUCUUAAGCACCAUAGCAACUAAGGGUGCUCAAAUUGGGUUGCUGGAAUUGUAAUAAAAGUAAAAGGCCUCAUAAAUUUUCCUUCCAGCAUAGUAAGUUAGUAUUCGAAAGAAAGAAAUGUAAAAGCAACAUAUUUAAUCAAUUUCCCUCAAUACCCAUAUAUAUAAAAUAAUAAUCGAUAAUUUGCUUGCUUCGCCAUCAUUUUUCAGCAAACAUACAAAAUAAAUCUCAGUUUUUUUUUU
This 23974-nucleotide long non-coding RNA is filed under the name Jatropha curcas. RNAcentral's name for it is "long non-coding RNA (JCUR_LNC001298)". The record is from RNAcentral. Lineage: Eukaryota; Viridiplantae; Streptophyta; Magnoliopsida; Malpighiales; Euphorbiaceae.